AACGAACGCUGGCGGCGCGCCUAAUACAUGCAAGUCGAACGAGAAGGUGUAGCAAUACACUUGUACAGUGGCGAACGGGUGAGGAAUGCAUGGGCAACCUACCCUCGAGUGGGGAACAACCAGCCGAAAGGUUGGCUAAUACCGCGUACGCUUCCGGGUCUCCGGAUCCCGGAAGGAAAGUCACACCGUGGGUGUGACGCUCAAGGAUGGGCUCAUGUCCUAUCAGCNGUUGGUGAGGUAACGGCUCACCAAGGCAACGACGGGUAGCUGGUCUGAGAGGACGAUCAGCCACACUGGCACUGCGACACGGGCCAGACUCCUACGGGAGGCAGCAGUAAGGAAUAUUGCGCAAUGGGCGAAAGCCUGACGCAGCGACGCCGCGUGGGGGAUGAAGGUCUU
This 399-nucleotide ribosomal RNA is filed under the name uncultured bacterium. Its description in RNAcentral is "bacterial SSU rRNA". It matches the Rfam family "Bacterial small subunit ribosomal RNA", at positions 29 to 418 of the family's 1533-position model. The record is from RNAcentral.